RNAcentral lists this unclassified non-coding RNA (217 nucleotides) under soil metagenome. Its description in RNAcentral is "partial contains 5.8S ribosomal RNA, internal transcribed spacer 2, and large subunit ribosomal RNA". The record is from RNAcentral.
AAGACUAUAGACCUGCGGAGUACCUGCGGAGGGAUCAUUACAAGUGACCCCGGUCUAACCACCGGGAUGUUCAUAACCCUUUGUUGUCCGACUCUGUUGCCUCCGGGGCGACCCUGCCUUCGGGCGGGGGCUCCGGGUGGACACUUCAAACUCUUGCGUAACUUUGCAGUCUGAGUAAACUUAAUUAAUAAAUUAAAACUUUUAGCAAUGGAUCUCU